Molecule: transfer RNA, 74 nt
Filed under: Acidobacteriota bacterium
Lineage: Bacteria; Pseudomonadati; Acidobacteriota
Also listed under: 1 other name
Description: Acidobacteria bacterium (activated sludge metagenome) tRNA-Arg
Rfam family: tRNA
About the family: Transfer RNA (tRNA) molecules are approximately 80 nucleotides in length.
Source: RNAcentral
GCUCUCGUAGCUCAGUUGGAUAGAGCGUUUGGCUACGAACCAAAAGGUCGCAGGUUCGAAUCCUGCCGGGGGCA